This 253-nucleotide ribosomal RNA is filed under the name uncultured bacterium. RNAcentral describes it as "partial 16S ribosomal RNA". It matches the Rfam family "Bacterial small subunit ribosomal RNA", at positions 524 to 776 of the family's 1533-position model. The record is from RNAcentral.
UACGUAGGGGGCAAGCGUUAUCCGGAAUUACUGGGUGUAAAGGGAGCGUAGACGGUAAUGUAAGUCUGGAGUGAAAGGCGGGGGCCCAACCCCCGGACUGCUCUGGAAACUAUGUUACUAGAGUGCAGGAGAGGUAAGCGGAAUUCCUAGUGUAGCGGUGAAAUGCGUAGAUAUCAGGAGGAACACCGGUGGCGAAGGCGGCCUGCUGGACUGCAACUGACGUUGAGGCCCGAAAGCGUGGGGAGCAAACAGG